CGGGGACCCGCACAAGCGGUGGAUGAUGUGGUUUAAUUCGAUGCAACGCGAAAAACCUUACCCACCUUUGUCAUGUACGGAAGGACCCAGAGAUGGAUUUGUGCUCGAAAGAGAACCGUAACACAGGUGCUGCAUGGCUGUCGUCAGCUCGUGUCGUGAGAUGUUGGGUUAAGUCCCGCAACGAGCGCAACCCUUGUCAUUAGUUGCUACAUUUAGUUGGGCACUCUAAUGAGACUGCCGGUGACAAACCGGAGGAAGGUGGGGAUGACGUCAAGUCCUCAUGGCCCCUAUAGGUGGGGCUACACACGUCAUACAAUGGCUGGUACAAAGGGUUGCCAACCCGCGAGGGGGAGCUAAUCCCAUAAAACCAGUCGUAGUCCGGAUCGCAGUCUGCAACUCGACUGCGUGAAGUCGGAAUCGCUAGUAAUCGUGGAUCAGAAUGUCACGGUGAAUACGUUCCCGGGUCUUGUACAC
Molecule: ribosomal RNA, 474 nt
Filed under: uncultured bacterium
Lineage: Bacteria
Description: bacterial SSU rRNA
Rfam family: Bacterial small subunit ribosomal RNA
Source: RNAcentral